This is a long non-coding RNA of Gallus gallus (chicken), 8289 nucleotides long. RefSeq lists it as uncharacterized. The transcript is spliced from 11 exons. The record is from RefSeq and is a predicted model, not a curated record. NCBI's taxonomy places the organism in Eukaryota, Metazoa, Chordata, Aves, Galliformes, Phasianidae.
ACAAGAACGUGGUGUUUGUGGACCCAUGUCAGACCUUUCUCCUGUAAAGCAAGCAUGUUGUGUAGGACAGAAGUGUCUGUGCUGCAAGGAGCAGGAAAGUUGAUCGCACCAGAGGUCACCAGGAGCUCCACUGGGAAGCUAAGCAGUGCAGUCACUCCUGAUGGAGUGCCUCAGAACACUGUAAUUAGUGAUGUCUGAGGAAAGGCAGCACUUAAUGGAAAGAAAACUUGAAAGAAGAAUAUAGCUGGACAGAUUACACUAAACAACACACAAUUAACUAAAAGUAACAGGAAACCAUAGUCAUGUCUUGGUGUGACCUUCAAAAUCUGUGUGCCACGUUUUAGCAGGUCUUCAGACACUUUAUAAAAUUAAAGCUCCUUGAACUUUAGGAUUUUUAGCAUCAGUUGUUUGUACGCAGAGAACACAGCAAACAGUGUUCCCAUCUUGUAGCCUCUUAAGCUUUAGUGCACCUGCUUGUCCAACUGAGCUGUGUUACAUGUGUCCCAGUCAUGUGUGAUGCAAUUUUUGCUGCUAGGUCUUCUUUCUAGCUGCAGUAACCUUAACUUGAACCUACUUUCUCUUCCGGCAAUAGGAAAUUUUCUUCUUGACAUCUAGCAUCUAGCUGAAGAAACGAGAAUAAUGUCAGUGUUGUGCGGCUUUCAACUCCAUUGGCUUCACAGGGAUGUGUUCUGCUCUCAGAGGGCUUAGAGUUGCUGCUGUGAGCUCUGUGUGUGUCCAGGUGAGGAUGGCCCCAGCCUGUGACUGACUUGGGGACAGCUGACAACAGCAUCUGAUAAUGUUGCAGAAGGCUCCCAGUGCAAGUGAUGAGCUCAUUUCCAUCGUAAGGAGAAAGAGCAGAACCCAGCAGGUCCCCUACAGAACUCUUUUCAAACUCACUGAAGAACUCCUUCCAACCCUGGUGCACUUUGUGUCCUGCACUGGGAGAGUUCAUGGGUUUUCCAGAAUCACUCGUUCGUGGCCUUUGAGGAAGCCAGAAAGCAAGUCGGUUCCAGUGCAUCUUCCUUCAGUGCCAUUUCCUUGGCCUCUCUUACAGUGAUGUUGACCUAAACCUUAUGGGUGAGAUGCGAGCAAACUCAAGCUGGCAGGAUGGAAGCCACUUCAGGUGUCAUGCCAGUGGUUUCAUUUGCACCACUGCAAUACCAAGAGUACUGCUUCUCUUACAGGCAGCAAAUGAGAUGGGCCUCAAGUUCAAGCCAUGUGGCAAAUAUAAAUAAACCAAAAGACAUUAUUUCUAUCUGUAUUCAAGUUAUAUAAUUUUGAACAAAGAAAUACUCUUUGUCCCUGACAUGCUGGCAGUGCUGGCAAUAAGCUGUGAUUACUGCAGUAAAUAGCACCAUCUAGGGAUCAGGAUGCUUUUCAAGUCGUCUUUCUGAACUGUGCGUGGUAAGAAUGGCUUCAGCAUCAGCUGUAAGAUGGGCACACGUUGUGCCACACCUUUUUGUAUUUACACAUGUACACAGAAACUGAAGGAAAUAUUAUAUGUGUCCCCUUCAGCAGUGCAAAGCCUAAAUGAAGAGUGCAUUUGUACUUAAAAACACAAAACUUGUAUGUAUAUGCUAUUAGGUGGGUAUGAUUCUCCUCCAGCUGCUGUUAAACUAGUUCAGCUUGUCUACUUAUGUCCAUGAAUAGAUCAAAGUUAAGGGAGAAACCUUGCACAUGCAGAUUAAAGUAACCACUGGAACUUGCCAUAUCCACCCUGUAUGAAUUUAUAUACUAAACUGAGAAGGCCUCACAAACUGCAGGUAUGAUUUCUGUGAAGCAGCUGCCCUGCAGAUCCACCUGGCUGUUGUGGAGCUAUUUGCACUGAAUCAUGGAGCUGGAAGAAAACUUGUCCACUGCUUUGUCAGAUGUUCAGAUAUCAUCUACCUGAUUCUGGGAAAUUAGGAACAGUGAAGCCGAGGUGUCUGCUUGAAUGCAAAGACUUCAUUUCUAAACUGCUCUUAAAUACUUCCUUUACAGGUGGUAAGCAAGUCCUGAUCCUGCACUAAAUGAUGCUUCAACAGACCUUCCUGCUGCUGAGUUCCAGGAUUUCCAAGGGCACAGUCAUUCAAAUAAAAGGAGGCUCUUCUGCUUUGGUUUUGUGGGGAUCAGCAGCUUGACUGUUCUCACUGCUCACCAUCUGACUGGUUGGUUACUGCCUUUAGCUCUUGGCCAUGCAAAGUAGAGAAGAUAUUUACCACUCUGCCAUGGGCAGCUGCUUCAGCUUUGUGCCACAUCCUUCAGAACCUGGAGGUGGCCCAAACAACCAGCGCUGGUGGCCAUGGUUCUCCUUCAGGCUCCUGCUAAUGGAGGUAGAACAGACACAGACGGGGAGAAGAAAACCCUCCUCAUUGAAAAACUAGGAACUGACUUCAGGCAAUAGAAGUAAAUGUAGAAACAGGCAUUGCUGUCUGCUCGUUAUCUAAAGUUCAGGACAAUGACAACACUUCGUUAUAGUUUGCCUUGGAAGUAAGGAAUAAAACUGCACACUGUAGUGCUGCUCUUAUCCAAGAGCAAGGAGCCCUGCUGAUGCAUCCUGCAGCACAGAGUUCAGUACUUGCUUUCCUGCUGCAAUAUCACAGAGAACUCUGUACCCAAAGGAAAGAACCCAAUGACCACAUUGUGAGUGCUGAGGUUUUAUGGGCUCUGUGUCCUACAACCCGGAGUGUCAGGUGUUGGAAUGCCCAAUUUUCAACCAUAUCAAAAAAACCAUUCCUGAAGUCUUUCAUUCCUCUGGUGAGAGCCCUGUUUAAAGCCAAGGAGGAGGGAUGUUGAAGACAAAAACCUCUGCACGUGAUUUUGUGAGAGGGGGAAGCUGUUGUGUGAAUGGCUGAUGCAAAGGAAAUGAAUGAGAGGAGCACUGGGAAGUUUCAGAGCUGCUGUCUGCAGCCGAGGUACCAGCGCUACAUUCCCAGCACCGCUUCUUCUGUAGGUGGGAUUGCAAACAAGAAUUGCCAAAGCAUGUCAACACGAAGCACGGCUGCUCACAGUCAGAUGUUGCACGGGGGUGUCUUCAUUACAGUGCUGUAAUAGUGGCUUCCAUUAUGGCGCUCUCCCGCAGUGCAAGCAUUCUGGAUCAGAAGAGGCCUGCCGUUCCACAUGUGCGCCAGCUGCUUCCUUCACCCACCACAGUCAGGCCUAGCACUUUUUUAUUCCUAAUGAGUUACGUGUGUGGAAAGCACAAAAAAUGAAAGGCCGGGGAAGAUUUUUAGAUUGUUUCCAGCACGGAGAAGCUGGGUAAGAUCACAGAGAAGCCCAAGAAAGUUUCUCACAGCUGCGUGCACCGAAGACUGACUCAUUUCCCCGACUGCUCGUUGUGUCGGGCUGACAACGGGGAGGUCGUUUUUGUUUCUGAGAGCACGGAAGACUUCAGUCCAGUUCUCUGCUCUCCCUUUGUUCUUGCUCUCCUGUUUGCUUGGCUCUUUAUUCUCUGAUUUCGGUUAUGGAUUUACCAUCCUUCAGAGACGCUGCCCACCUCCACCUCUCUCAUCUUAAAACCUCCCACGGUUCAGCGCUCAGACUGGCAGCCCCAGGAUGCCUGGUCAUGGCCUUGAUGCGUGUGGUAGUCAAGAAAGCUAAACUCCUAACAGAAAGCACUGCCCAGUAUGUAUUUAUCAUGCGGAGAGGUAAAGCUGUGCCUACUGGAGCCGAAGAAACAAUGGAAAUAAUGUGUAUUCAUAUGGACUGGCUCAAGCAGUGUACCCCCACCAUGACAGUACGUGUACAGCAUGCACAGGCCCUGCCUGCCUUCAGCAGCUCCGGGUGCCCUUUAGCUGUGCUCGGUGGCACACUUUCAAGGAGCACUGACUCUACGCCUUGUUUUGUACCAACAUCGCGUGUCCUUCAUCCAGCAGAGCCAUCCCAGGACAGGCGUAGAUCAAUCACACUGUCCUGACAGUGGGGCUGAUUUGUGGGCAUUGCACUCAUGUUCAAAAAUUCUCACCUGGUGGUGCUUGGAGUCUCUCAUCCCAUGCUGUAUUUGAAGCAGGGCUUGCAGAGUAGGACUCUUGCUUUGUUUUGAAAUCCUGCUCAGAAAUCCAGCUUAGAAAGAACUAGCAUGAUCAUGACAGCAAAUCUGAGCACCAAGCUGUUCCUGCCAAGCUGCACAGCAAUUUGCAGAAAGCUUGCUGACAGUAGCAAACACUUGCUGGCCUGUGCACAGGAAUUUCAGCUCUGGGCAUGCAACCAACUGAGCAUGUAAGCUUCUGUUUCUUUCUUUGAACCAUCCCUCUGCUUCAAAUAAUCUUCAGAGAAAAGGAUUCAAAACCUCCGUAUCAAAAUCCUGUAUCCAGUGGUCUUGAAAAGCCACAGAAAAAGCAAGGUCUGGCUCAAAGAGUGGGCUGUGGGGACAGAGGGGUGCUGGUGCUCACCUUGCUUGUCCCACUCAGAACAGUCAGGCCUGGGAAAGUGGCACUGAGUUGACACAGAUGAAGCGAAGCAGCGUUUGAAGGUCCCUACCCUCUAGUUAUGCCUGAGCAGUAUUUACAACAUUGAUUGCUACUGUACUGGAUAUAAGGAUGAGUUAAAGCCCUGGAGGUCACCCAAGGGGGUAGACUCUUGUUUCCUGAAAUGGUAGAGCCCAGCAGAUAGGCAAAGUGGAAGAACUUGCUCAACCUCUUAGUUAUAUAACAACAUAAAUAUAACCUAGCACUUUUCUUAGCAUCAGGUACAUGCUCUGGAAUUGGUUUCACUUAAUGUGAAGCGUCGCUCUCCAUUUCCCUUCUCAGUUUUAACAGCUGAUGUAAUCGCAGCUCUGCAAACUGCGGUUGCAUACUAAUGCAGUUGCUUCUGUAUCAAGUGAAGUACUUUGAGCUGUUCAUGAUAUCCUGCUGUAAUACUUGAGUGAGCGACCACAUAAAUGAAACCAACUUGUGGAGGCAGACCACCUGUUUGGUGGUGUCACGAAAGGAACUAAUGAUAAGACAGUGCUGGAGAAGGGAUCUUCAUUUAUGAUGAACGAUACUUUAGUUAUUAAGACUGUGGGUCUCUAUUUCAGGUAUGGAAAUGGCUGCAGUAAGGACCCACUGCCAGAAUUUUCAUACGGGAUACGAAAGAAAAGUUCCACUGUAAAGAGAAACUCAGCAGACAGUGAGAGGCAGCAAGGAAGAAAAGUAUUCAGUAGUUUGCAGGAUCACCAACCACUGUAAAGAGCACACGUCAGGUGUUUGAGCCAGCAUUCCAGCUACAGCUGCACAGCUGGGGGUACCUGGCUUCACUGAACACGCUCACCUGUGUCCCGACUGGCUCAGAUCAGCCCCACCAAGCUCUGGGGCUGCUCCUGCCUCUGUUUCACUCCGCGUGGCGACUGAGCUACUUUACACAAACAGAGAUCUGAUCAGUACUGACCAUGAUGGAGAAUUACAGCGGUUUUACCCGCUGAGGUCCUGGCUGGAGCGCUUAGAGGGCUGCAGUGUCCUUUGCAGUGUUCUUGCGUGCCUGCCCACCAGGCUGUACCCAGUUAGCUCUGGCAGGGUGCUCAGCAGGUGGCUUUGGAGAUAAAUGAGGUAUCACAGACUCGGUGGUAUGAAGCUGCAUUCAGAUGGCUUGCACCUGAGAACAGCUGCUUAAUUAAAGCAAUAUCAUAGGAAAACAAACAAACAAACAAACAAAAAACCAGAUCAGAUGUAGGAAGGAGAUGAAGGGUUUCGUUCUGCCUCACCUCAGGAGUCGGUCUUACUAAAAUACUGCUCUUUUUCUGACUUUUGCUUGCGUCCUAUGAGAAGCCCUGCCUGCUGCCUGGCCUCCCCCUGCACCGAGCCCAGCAGAGUUAAGUGAGGUGGAGGCAGCAGACGUGACAGCAGGGGAAUGAACUGAUGCCUGUGGGUUUGCCACACGGUAUUACAGUUAUCUCCUUAAGCUGCGAGGCAGAAAUCUUGCUGCAUAAUGGGAAAGUAAGCUUAGCUGGUGGGAGUUACGUGUUCAUCUCUGAAACACCUGCAUGUCUGAGUGAUGCUUUCAGGAGAGCUGGUCAGAAGAAUAGUUCUCCUGUAAGAAAUACCACAAAAAGUCCAUCUGUGUUAUUCUGUACAGAACGCUGAUCUUUCGGGGCGGGGAAGGAAGAGAAAUUGCUAUGCCUCAUUGUAAAUGGUCAGCGGAACAGUGAAGACCUCUGCUUGGAAGCAUAGGAUAGGUCCUCAGGAGAGCUCUGAAUAUCAUCCACCUCAUCUAGCCCGUGUAUAAAUUGGGUGCUUUCAGUGAUCAAAGCCUGCUUUUACCUGCGAUAAGAUCCCAAUUCAGACGCACUAGCUGCUGCUCAUACCCGUGGUGUACCCAGCCCAACAGGUUAACAGCGCAUCCCAGUGCAGGGUGGGAGACCUCCCUCCAUGGGAACUGCCUCGCUGUGUCUCCUUCACUUGGGUGUGCAGGGCUUUGAAUAAACCCACAGUCAGUCGUACCUCCCAGCUCACGUUGCCGAAUGGCCUUUAACAGAAGCAAUCAAAUGCAGCCCUGAGCUCCUCCUUUUCCCCAAGACUCACUAAAAUACAGUGUAGUGCGCAGCACCUGGAGGUGAUUCCGUGCACAAAGGGCUAUACUGAUGCCUCUGCAAAAUAUCACAUUGGGGUCACUUCUGAAACAUGUGGUCAAACCUCAGCUGACAGGCGAAGGAGACGGUUUUGUUUCCAGCUCAGGCAUUUCCUUUACUUGACAUGGAACUUUGAGAGAGCCUUCCUUAGCACUCAACCAGGCUGCAAGCUGACACAUGGAUUCACUAGUGUUCUGCUUACAGUGGUUCAGAGUUUGGCCUGUUUUCUUUCACCAUGUGCAGACAAAUCCACCUCCCCCCAGAAUGCUCACAGGCUUUGAUUUUUACAGAAACGCUGGCCUAUCCUGUGACACAAGACCUUGAAGAUGCAUGUGCGUGCCAUUCAACUGAGCUGUUUCCAUGCCUCAAGUAGAGCACAUUGACUGCUUGGGCCAGGCUAUUGACAGAGCUGGAAUAAGCAAGUAUUUCUGGAUUUAUUUUUUGUGCUGAGGACAAAGCAAACAUCAGAAAUGUUUGUUCAACUAAGCUGACAUACACCCACCCCAGAAACUAUUUGCAUUUUGCCUGGGUUGAAUUUAUUUCAGGCUUUCCUAUUGCACUCACAGAAGGACGACACAUCCCAGUCUGAAUGCUCAUAGGCAAAUAGCUUUAACAGCAAUUAGUUCCACUGAUAGGUUAUCUGCACAGCUGCCAGAGAUAUUGAUGAGGGGGAAAAAAAAAAAGCUGUUUGGAAUAGUGACGUCUGAAACAACUGGUUUUAAAACAGGUAGAAAUACAGCUAUUGAUUGAUGGAAGGGGAUUAUUUUGGCCUCUAACGCACAGUUUUGCUUUCUUAGCUCAGCGAGACAAUGGUGAAGUUUUCAGGAAGGAAAAAAAGAAAAGCAGCAGGAGGUGAUUGAAUAUGUUUUGGAGAAAACUACGGAGUAUGGGAAGCCAAAGUUGUUUCCCCUAUUACUUCUCAACCAUCCAAAUCUGAUACUGAAAACACCGCUGAUAUUGGGGUCAGAGGUGCCAUUGUUCAGAACCUGCCUGGGAAGGCCAUACACAGUGGGAAGAGGGGUGUAACUGCUUUGCUGGGACGAGGAGAUGUGCAGGAGAGCUCUGCAGGCUGAGGAACUUGGAAAUGAAAAGUGACUUGUGCUGCUGGUAAACGACUGAGAAAUCAGCACCGGGGUUUGUUCCAGAAUCAAGCCUACAGCCACGUGCCAGUCAGAGGGGCUUCACCUGUAUGCCUUUUCUUUGGGCCUCUGAUGAUCUGCCUUCAUUCAUGCCUACACGGAGGGGUGGCAUGGAUGGCACGCGGCAUUGCGUGGAACCUCCACAUCAGGAGGAAUUCCAGUGAGAUGGCUUACUUUGGUCUUUUCAGAGUGGCUAAAGAACAAAUGCCUGCCUCUAUUCUCCCUUUGUCAGCCGGUCAUGGCAAGAACAAACAAAUUCACUGUCUAUAUGAUACUGUCCUAUGAUUCAGUCCGUGUAUGGAGCGUACCAGCUACCAUGCAUGGCCUGAUAGGCGUGGUGGUUACGCUCCACCUGCUGAACCAGGCAGCUGCGGGGAGAUGUUAACAGACUUACACACUGAUGAUGCUCUUAUCGAUAGGAAGAAAACGCUGCGGGAACGCUGCUGCUCUGAGGGCAGCGAGGGGAGGUGCUGGUGGGGCAGCUGCAGGCCUGGCGGGAUUUCCCGUGCACGCCGCUAUUCCCGGUUUCUGCAGUGCGCUCCCAGGAGGCGCUCCGUAGGAAGGAGUGGGGACGGGGGGACGCGGGGAGCAGCCGGGCCGGGCUCCGCCGCGGCGCCGCUCCGCCAU